RNAcentral lists this ribosomal RNA (118 nucleotides) under Petromyzon marinus (sea lamprey). Lineage: Eukaryota; Metazoa; Chordata; Hyperoartia; Petromyzontiformes; Petromyzontidae. The record is from RNAcentral.
GCUUACAACCAAAGCACCCUGAAUGUGCCCCAUCUCAUCAGAUCUCGGACACGAAGGAGGACUGAGCCUCGUUAGUGCUUGAUGCGUGACUGCCAGGGCAUAACAACAGUUGGAAUAU